This 323-nucleotide unclassified non-coding RNA is filed under the name soil metagenome. RNAcentral's name for it is "partial contains 5.8S ribosomal RNA, internal transcribed spacer 2, and large subunit ribosomal RNA". The stretch from base 1 to 120 matches the Rfam family "5.8S ribosomal RNA", at positions 35 to 154 of the family's 154-position model. The record is from RNAcentral.
GAUGAAGAACGCAGCGAAAUGCGAUAAGUAAUGCGAAUUGUAGAAUUCAGUGAGUCAUCGAAUCUUUGAACGCACAUUGCGCCCUGUGGUAUUCCGCAGGGCAUGCCUGUUCGAGCGUCAUUUCAACCCUCAAGCUCUGCUUGGUGUUGGGCCCUGCCCGCUGCGGCCGGCCCUAAAGACAGUGGCGGUGCCGCCUGGCCCUGAGCGUAGUACAUCUCUCGCUCCAGUGCCCGGUGGUAGCCUGCCAGAACCCCAACUCUCGUGGUUGACCUCGGAUCAGGUAGGGAUACCCGCUGAACUUAAGCAUAUCAAUAAGCGGAGGA